GGUCAAGCUACAAAGGGCUAACGGAGGAUACCU
Molecule: ribosomal RNA, 33 nt
Filed under: Microcoleus sp. PCC 8701
Lineage: Bacteria; Bacillati; Cyanobacteriota; Cyanophyceae; Oscillatoriales; Microcoleaceae
Description: partial 23S ribosomal RNA
Source: RNAcentral